AAUCCAGACUCCUACGGGAGGCAGCAGUGGGGAAUAUUGCACAAUGGGGGAAACCCUGAUGCAGCAACGCCGCGUGAGUGAAGAAGUCAUUCGUGAUGUAAAGCUCUAUCAGCAGGGAAGAAAAUGACGGUACCUGAAGAAGAAGCCCCGGCUAACUACGUGCCAGCAGCCGCGGGAAUACGUAGGGGGCAAGCGUUAUCCGGAUUUACUGGGUGUAAAGGGGGCGCAGACGGCGAUGCAAGCCAGGAGUGAAAGCCCGGGGCCCAACCCCGGGACUGCUCUUGGAACUGCGUGGCUGGAGUGCAGGAGGGGCAGGCGGAAUUCCUGGUGUAGCGGUGAAAUGCGUAGAUAUCAGGAGGAACACCGGUGGCGAAGGCGGCCUACUGGACUGCAACUGGCGUUGAGGCCCGAAAGCGUGGGGAGCAAACAGGAUUAGAUCCCCUUGUA
RNAcentral lists this ribosomal RNA (447 nucleotides) under uncultured bacterium. RNAcentral's name for it is "bacterial SSU rRNA". It matches the Rfam family "Bacterial small subunit ribosomal RNA", at positions 328 to 792 of the family's 1533-position model. The record is from RNAcentral.